GUGAUGUUGCACAACAAGCUCUAACUUCAUUGGAGGAGGAAUCUGAGCUUGGUGUCAUUUUAAUUGCAUUGCUUAAAACAUCUGAUGUUAAUUGACUACAAUGCUCUCUGCAAAACCAUAUGCAGCACCAGAAGAUAAUGAUGUUUGGUUCACUGCCUGCUUUACCGCUUUACCUAUGGUCAUUACACACGAGUCCGUUGCUUUGGUGGGAGAGAACAGAGUGCUUCAGUAGUUGUGCACCUGAGGCUGUCAGGAUUUCCUCAGCCAUCUUCCUACGUAGUGCCUCCAUAUUGGUCACAGAAGUAUUGAUGUCCAACUGGGAUGGAACUUUUGGGAAACUAGAGACAACCUCCUUUGCCAUUUUUGAACAAUAG
This 374-nucleotide long non-coding RNA is filed under the name Carassius auratus (goldfish). RNAcentral's name for it is "lncRNA (ENSCARG00000052377.1)". Lineage: Eukaryota; Metazoa; Chordata; Actinopteri; Cypriniformes; Cyprinidae. The record is from RNAcentral.